RNAcentral lists this non-coding RNA (31 nucleotides) under Mus musculus (house mouse). Lineage: Eukaryota; Metazoa; Chordata; Mammalia; Rodentia; Muridae. The record is from RNAcentral.
UGAGAACUAGGAUAAGUCUCUUUACAGAAGC